RNAcentral lists this ribosomal RNA (254 nucleotides) under uncultured bacterium. RNAcentral describes it as "partial 16S ribosomal RNA". It matches the Rfam family "Bacterial small subunit ribosomal RNA", at positions 524 to 776 of the family's 1533-position model. The record is from RNAcentral.
UACAGAGGGGGCAAGCGUUAUUCGGAAUUAUUGGGCGUAAAGAGCUCGUAGGCGGUCUGUCGCGUCGAUCGUGAAAACUUGGGGCUUAACCCUGAGCUUGCGGUCGAUACGGGCAUGACUGGAGUUCGGCAGGGGAGACUGGAAUUCCUGGUGUAGCGGUGAAAUGCGCAGAUAUCAGGAGGAACACCGAUGGCGAAGGCAGGUCUCUGGGCCGAUACUGACGCUGAGGAGCGAAAGCGUGGGGAGCGAACAGG